UGCAUAUCAAUAAGCGGAGGAAAAGAAACCAACAGGGAUUGCCUCAGUAACGGCGAGUGAAGCGGCAAAAGCUCAAAUUUGAAACCCUCGGGAUUGUAAUUUGAAGAUUUGGCAUUGGAGAAAGCUAACCCAAGUUGCUUGGAAUAGUACGUCAUAGAGGGUGACAACCCCGUCUGGCUAACCGUUCUCCAUGUAUUGCCUUAUCAAAGAGUCGAGUUGUUUGGGAAUGCAGCUCAAAGUGGGUGGUAAACUCCAUCUAAAGCUAAAUACUGGUGAGAGACCGAUAGCGAACAAGUACUGUGAAGGAAAGGUGAAAAGAACUUUGAAAAGAGAGUGAAAUAGUAUGUGAAAUUGUUGAUAGGGAAGGAAAUGAGUGGAGAGUGGCCGAGGUUUCAGCCGCCCCUCGUGGGCGGUGUACUGCCGACGCCGAGUCAUCGAUAGCGAGACGAGGGUUACAAAUGGGAGCGCCUUUCGGGCGUUCUCCCCUAACCCUCCACACUGCCACCGACGACAUAAUCCACCCAUUUCACCCGUCUUGAAAC
RNAcentral lists this ribosomal RNA (542 nucleotides) under Yarrowia lipolytica. RNAcentral's name for it is "eukaryotic LSU rRNA". It matches the Rfam family "Eukaryotic large subunit ribosomal RNA", at positions 37 to 660 of the family's 3401-position model. Lineage: Eukaryota; Fungi; Ascomycota; Dipodascomycetes; Dipodascales. The record is from RNAcentral.